Molecule: long non-coding RNA, 1621 nt
Organism: Myotis lucifugus (little brown bat)
Lineage: Eukaryota; Metazoa; Chordata; Mammalia; Chiroptera; Vespertilionidae
Exons: 2
Source: RefSeq, a predicted model, not a curated record
GUCCCGCCCACAGGGCUCUUGUUUCUGAGCGCAGCGACGCCCCGCCCUCCGCUGGAAGUCCCGCCCAUCGUGCGAAGUCCCGCCCUCUACAGGAAGUCCGGUCCCCAGCGUCUAAACACCAUUAGUCACCGAGCCGAGAGGACGUCAUCCGAGUGGUCGCCCUGGGCCUCUGCCUUCGGCCCCAGGAGGGGGCGCUCGCACCCUGGCUGGCGUCCACGCGCGAGGAGCCCCAGUCCUUUCCGCAGGGUGUUUCCUUGCUUCACAGCCGCGUGUGGCCGAGGCGGGGCGCAGGGCCACGGGAAGAUGUUGCCAGGGGAGUAUCGGCAGCCUCAGCGGCGCAGCGGGCGCACCCCUGCUUCCGGCGCCCGCGUGCACCCCUGUCCAGGUCUGGAGGCUCACCGUCCAGGAAAGUACCCCCGGCUUCCGAGAGCGUCCCUCGCGAGAGCAAGUGGCCACGUGUUUCGCUGCUUCCCUCGCGGACGCCCAGGUGCCGGCCUUUCCACCCGCUCUCCUUGCAAACGGCGAGGCCUGGCCGCGCGGGAGUGACGGCGGCGCCCCACGUGGGUCGCGGGCUUCAGCUGUUCACGUUGGGCAGCCUCAGGAAUGGGAGGCAAAGAGAUCGAAUCCCCACAUGGCGCCAGCUCCAUAAGUCAACACUCCGCACAGAUAACCACGAGAAGACAUUGCUGUGGUCAGUCAGCCCCGCUGCGCCGAUCCCGGCGCGAUGGGGGCGGGCGUGGGCGCUGCUGCACUCGAUGCCCACGCCUGUGUGCCCGCCUGCCAUGUCCCUGCACCCCGCCGGGCGCCUUAUGUCCCCCCUGUUUCCCCAGGGUCCCGCAGCUCCGGUGCCAGGAGCUGUGGUUUGACAUUUGCUCGGCGACGAGAAAUCCCCUGAGGGUCAAAAGCAGGGCUUGUGGCCGGGCACUGUCCUCUGAUGAGCAGAUACCUAGAGGAGCACUUCUUAUCUCUGCUCCACAAAUCUGUUUUCCACUGAAGGAAGCAGGCUUUAUCCAGAGUAAUCUGGCCAGAUGCCUGGAAGUCCCAAACCUGACCGUAGCAAAUAGCCGAAGGUUGAGAAAGUGCAGCGCUAUCACAGAGGCCAUAAAAGCACCGAAGAAUGUCAUGCAGAGUCGUAGACAUUUGGGAAACUGAGAAAAGCAUAAAGAAGUGCACACCAGUGAUGACGGCUCUGAUCUAGCUCCCCAUCAUCUUUGUCUUACCUGGAUAUUGUCACAGCUUCCUGGCUGCUCCCCCUGCCUUAAUCUCUCCCCAGCCCAGCAGCCAGAGGAAUCCUGCUGAAAUGGUGAUCACAUCAUGUCGUCCUCCGAAUUUCCAUGUUCCCACUUCACCCAGAAUAAAAGCCAGAGCACUUACAAGGCCCUGUGCCCCGCUCAGACCCCCCUGACCAACACUGCUUUCUCACUGCCCUGUAAUCAUGGCCCCUAAAUGUCUCCUCCCUCACCUCUCAGGUCUUAUUUCAAAUGGUGUCUUUUCAGAGAGGCCUUCAUGCCCACCUCUGUACAGUCAGGGGCCCUCUUCUCUGCUGUGCCGUCAUCCCAUAUACUAGAGUUUAUCUUGUUUAUUAUCUGUCUUCUCCAUAAAGGCAGAGCUUUCUAUCUGG